UACGAACCGUGCGAACGUUGUUCGGAAUCACUGGGCUUAAAGGGCGCGUAGGCGGGCGGCACAGUCAGGGGUGAAAGCUCCCGGCCCAACCGGGAAAGUGCCUUUGAUACUGGUCGCCUCGAGGGAGGUAGGGGCACGUGGAACUUCCGGUGGAGCGGUGAAAUGCGUAGAUAUCGGAAGGAACGCCGGUGGCGAAAGCGACGUGCUGAAUCUCUUCUGACGCUGAGGCGCGAAAGCCAGGGGAGCAAACAGG
This 253-nucleotide unclassified non-coding RNA is filed under the name uncultured Planctomycetia bacterium. RNAcentral's name for it is "contains 16S-23S intergenic spacer region". It matches the Rfam family "Bacterial small subunit ribosomal RNA", at positions 524 to 776 of the family's 1533-position model. The record is from RNAcentral. Lineage: Bacteria; Pseudomonadati; Planctomycetota; Planctomycetia.